GACGAACGCUGGCGGCGUGCUUAACACAUGCAAGUCGAACGGAAAGGCCCUGCUUUUGUGGGGUGCUCGAGUGGCGAACGGGUGAGUAACACGUGAGUAACCUGCCCUUGACUUUGGGAUAACUUCAGGAAACUGGGGCUAAUACCGGAUUGGAGCUCCUGCUGCAUGGUGGGGGUUGGAAAGUUUCGGCGGUUGGGGAUGGACUCGCGGCUUAUCAGCUUGUUGGUGGGGUAGUGGCUUACCAAGGCUUUGACGGGUGGCCGGCCUGAGAGGGUGACCGGCCACAUUGGGACUGAGAUACGGCCCAGACUCCUACGGGAGGCAGCAGUGGGGAAUAUUGCACAAUGGGCGGAAGCCUGAUGCAGCAACGCCGCGUGCGGGAUGACGGCCUUCGGGUUGUAAACCGCUUUCGCCUGUGACGAAGCGUGAGUGACGGUAAUGGGUAAAGAAGCACCGGCUAACUACGUG
RNAcentral lists this ribosomal RNA (468 nucleotides) under uncultured bacterium. Its description in RNAcentral is "partial 16S ribosomal RNA". It matches the Rfam family "Bacterial small subunit ribosomal RNA", at positions 28 to 507 of the family's 1533-position model. The record is from RNAcentral.